RNAcentral lists this non-coding RNA (82 nucleotides) under Dokdonella koreensis. Its description in RNAcentral is "SAH sequence". It matches the Rfam family "SAH (S-adenosyl-L-homocysteine) riboswitch aptamer". Lineage: Bacteria; Pseudomonadati; Pseudomonadota; Gammaproteobacteria; Lysobacterales; Rhodanobacteraceae. RNAcentral also lists the same sequence under 1 other name. The record is from RNAcentral.
CCCACCGAGGGGCGCUGCGACCGUCGCUCCGUCGACGACCAGGCUCGGCGGGCCGUCCCCUUUCGAACCGCGCCUACCGAAU